Molecule: non-coding RNA, 100 nt
Filed under: Alteracholeplasma palmae J233
Lineage: Bacteria; Bacillati; Mycoplasmatota; Mollicutes; Acholeplasmatales; Acholeplasmataceae
Also listed under: 1 other name
Description: Acholeplasma palmae J233 Purine riboswitch aptamer
Rfam family: Purine riboswitch aptamer
About the family: Riboswitches are metabolite binding domains within certain messenger RNAs that serve as precision sensors for their corresponding targets. Allosteric rearrangement of mRNA structure is mediated by ligand binding, and this results in modulation of gene expression. A class of riboswitches that selectively recognises guanine and becomes saturated at concentrations as low as 5 nM.
Source: Rfam by way of RNAcentral
UGGUAUACUAAAAUUAUAAAUCAUAUAAUUGACCUAAUAUGGUGGUCUAGUUUCUACCACACAACCUUAUUGUGUGACUAUGAUAAAGAUUCUUGUAAUU